Molecule: long non-coding RNA, 534 nt
Organism: Arvicola amphibius (Eurasian water vole)
Lineage: Eukaryota; Metazoa; Chordata; Mammalia; Rodentia; Cricetidae
Exons: 3
Source: RefSeq, a predicted model, not a curated record
AGCAGCCCAGGGAGAAUAAAGGGCUCCCUGGUGCUCAGUGCAUCAUUGGGAAGAUUAAUUAACAUGUGUAAAGGCCACACACAACGUGAAAGGCCCAGUAAUGGAUCUCCAAACGCCGGAGUCCCUGUUUUCUAGAAGGGUCAUGAAACAAGGAGUGGAAAAUAUUCCCUAGAAGACAGAGCUGGAUGACCCCGGCCAUGAAGAACACAGCAAAGAAAGGGCUGGGCUUGUCUGGGGUUCUCUUCAUUCUCAAGCUGAAUCUGAUCUGACAGAUGUGGGUCAGCACGAAGAUUAGCAGCUGUCAGGAAAUGGGUGUGUCGACUAGUGGGCGCCAGAGUUCUCCUGGGAGGUAACUGUGGUGAGGCCGCGUGACUGAGUGGGCAUGCCAAGCGCCAGCGAGCCACACAUUUUCAAUGGAUGAACACAUGUGAAUACAGGUAAUUUCAGAAGCAGCGACUCCUAAUUAUUCAGUGUUGAAAAGCUAAAAAAAAGGUUCACAUUGAAAACAGUGACCUCCAGUUUGCUCUGUGAAUG